UACGUAGGGGGCAAGCGUUGUCCGGAAUCAUUGGGCGUAAAGAGCGUGUAGGCGGCUCGAUAAGUCUGCUGUGAAAGUCCAGGGCUCAACCCUGGAAGGCCGGUGGAAACUGUCGGGCUAGAGUCCGGAAGAGGCGAGUGGAAUUCCCGGUGUAGCGGUGAAAUGCGCAGAUAUCGGGAGGAACACCAAUGGCGAAGGCAGCUCGCUGGGACGGUACUGACGCUGAGGUGCGAAAGCGUGGGGAGCGAACAGG
This 253-nucleotide ribosomal RNA is filed under the name uncultured bacterium. RNAcentral's name for it is "partial 16S ribosomal RNA". It matches the Rfam family "Bacterial small subunit ribosomal RNA", at positions 524 to 776 of the family's 1533-position model. The record is from RNAcentral.